This 88-nucleotide ribosomal RNA is filed under the name Halomonas sp. GFAJ-1. RNAcentral's name for it is "Bacterial small subunit ribosomal RNA". It matches the Rfam family "Bacterial small subunit ribosomal RNA", at positions 1446 to 1533 of the family's 1533-position model. The record is from Rfam by way of RNAcentral. Lineage: Bacteria; Pseudomonadati; Pseudomonadota; Gammaproteobacteria; Oceanospirillales; Halomonadaceae.
GAGGGCGAUCACCACGGUGUGGUUCAUGACUGGGGUGAAGUCGUAACAAGGUAGCCGUAGGGGAACCUGCGGCUGGAUCACCUCCUUA